UUCCGGUUGACCUGCCGGAGGCCAUUGCUAUUGGAGUCCGAUUUAGCCAUGCUAGUUGCACGAGUUCAGACUCGUGGCGUAUAGCUCAGUAACACGUGGCCAAACUACCCUACAGACCGGCAUAACCUCGGGAAACUGAGGCUAAUUCCGGAUACUGCUUUCACGUUGGAAUUGCAGAAAGCACGAAACGCUUCGGUGCUGUAGGAUGUGGCUGCGGCCGAUUAGGUAGACGGUGGGGUAACGGCCCACCGUGCCAGUAAUCGGUACGGGUCGUGAGAGCGAGAGCCCGGAGACGGUAUCUGAGACAAGAUGCCGGGCCCUACGGGGCGCAGUAGGCGCGAAACCUUUACACUGCACGCCAGUGCGAUAGGGGGACUCCAAGUGCGAGGGCAUAUAGUCCUCGCUUUUGUACACCGUAAGGUGGUGUACGAAUAAGAACUGGGCAAGACCGGUGCCAGCCGCCGCGGUAAUACCGGCAGUUCGAGUGAUGGCCGCUCUUAUUGGGCCUAAAGCGUUCGUAGCUGGCCAGUCAAGUCUGUCGGGAAAUCUGCUCGCUCAACGAGCAGUCGUCCGGCGGAAACUGAUUGGCUUGGGACCGGAAGACCCGAAGAGUACGUCCGGGGUAGGAGUGAAAUCCUGUAAUCCUGGACGGACUACCGAUGGCGAAAGCACUUCGGGAGCACGGAUCCGACAGUGAGGAACGAAAGCUGGGGUCUCGAACCGGAUUAGAUACCCGGGUAGUCCCAGCUGUAAACGAUGCCCGCUAGGUACGGCACAGGCUACGAGCCUGUGCUGUGCCGUAGUGAAGACGUAAGCGGGCCGCCUGGGAAGUACGUUCGCAAGAAUGAAACUUAAAGGAAUUGGCGGGGGAGCACUACAACCGGAGGAGCCUGCGGUUUAAUUGGAUUCAACGCCGGG
This 918-nucleotide ribosomal RNA is filed under the name uncultured archaeon. RNAcentral describes it as "partial 16S ribosomal RNA". It matches the Rfam family "Archaeal small subunit ribosomal RNA", at positions 1 to 922 of the family's 1478-position model. The record is from RNAcentral.